GCGGCUGGAUCCCCUCCUUUCUAGGGAGAUGCCGCGCGGCGAGCACUAGGGCCGAAGCAAGCGGAUUUGUAGCUUUGCUGCAAAACAGGCUUGCGGAACGCCGUUUUAGAUAAGUCUCGAUCAUAUCUGCGCGAUAUCCCAGGUCGGUAUCUAUGAAGCUAACAGGUUUUAUCUGGUUAUUGUAUCUGUUAGUGGAGAUAGAGUUGACAGGACUUUUCGUUUUCAGUAUUUAGUUUUCAGGGUUUAUCCCUGAUGCGAAAAUGAGUUUAUAAAACGAAAGCUCAUUGCUUCCGUUUUUAACACUCCUGCUUCGCAAUCGUACCUUGACAAUUGCAUAAUAAGUAAGUACAAACAUAUUAGAAAUAUGGUUUGUGUAGUAAUACCAAUGUUAGGUAAAGCUACUAAGAGCAAAUGGUGGAUGCCUUGGCAUCAGGAGCCGAUGAAGGACGUGCAAAUCUGCGAUAAGCCGCGUGGAGUUGAUAAGACACCUUGAUACGCGGAUUU
Molecule: unclassified non-coding RNA, 504 nt
Filed under: uncultured Actinomycetes bacterium
Lineage: Bacteria; Bacillati; Actinomycetota; Actinomycetes
Description: uncultured actinobacterium partial contains 16S ribosomal RNA, 16S-23S ribosomal RNA intergenic spacer, and 23S ribosomal RNA
Rfam family: Bacterial large subunit ribosomal RNA (bases 392-504)
Source: RNAcentral